RNAcentral lists this ribosomal RNA (253 nucleotides) under uncultured bacterium. Its description in RNAcentral is "partial 16S ribosomal RNA". It matches the Rfam family "Bacterial small subunit ribosomal RNA", at positions 524 to 776 of the family's 1533-position model. The record is from RNAcentral.
UACGUAGGGUGCAAGCGUUAAUCGGAAUUACUGGGCGUAAAGCGUGCGCAGGCGGUUAUGUAAGACAGAUGUGAAAUGCCCGGGCUUAACCUGGGAACUGCAUUUGUGACUGCAUGGCUAGAGUUUGGCAGAGGGGGGUAGAAUUCCACGUGUAGCAGUGAAAUGCGUAGAUAUGCGGAGGAACACCGAUGGCGAAGGCAAUCCCCUGGGCCUGCACUGACGCUCAUGCACGAAAGCGUGGGGAGCAAACAGG